RNAcentral lists this transfer RNA (80 nucleotides) under Candidatus Hecatellales archaeon ex4484_218. Its description in RNAcentral is "Candidatus Bathyarchaeota archaeon ex4484_218 tRNA-Ser". Lineage: Archaea; Thermoproteati; Candidatus Bathyarchaeota; Bathyarchaeia (SeqCode); Candidatus Hecatellales. The record is from RNAcentral.
GGGUUUGGGAAAUCUGGUAGGGCGCAGGCCUGCUAAGCCUGUGGCUCAUUGGAGCCGCACGGGUUCAAAUCCCGUCCCCG